This 286-nucleotide long non-coding RNA is filed under the name Mytilus galloprovincialis (Mediterranean mussel). Lineage: Eukaryota; Metazoa; Mollusca; Bivalvia; Mytilida; Mytilidae. The record is from RNAcentral.
CCCGCAUGUUGUUUUUUGUCCCGGAGCACAUGCGAUCAGCAUAGGAGUUUGUUCGUUGUGGAUAUGUCGUUAUUUUUUUAUGUUGUGUUUUGUAUAUAACUGUUUGACACUUUCUGUUUUUUUUUUCUUUUUUUUCUCUUAUUUAUGUCAUGACGUUGUUAGUGUAUUUUGACACAUGAAUUUGUGUGUCCAUUUUGUAUCUCUUAUAUUACAAUCUUCAAUACAUGGGCAUAUUACAGUAUAUAUUAUAUCUUUACUCCUCCUUCUUGUAGCUGAGAUGUCUUCC